UAACACAUGCAAGUCGAACGGAAACGAAACUAGCUUGCUAGUAGGCGUCGAGUGGCGGACGGGUGAGUAACGCGUAGGAAUCUGCCUGAUAGUGGGGGAUAGCCCGAAGAAAUUCGGAUUAAUACCGCAUAAUCUAUUCGUAGUAAAGUGGGGGACUUUCGAGCCUCACGCUAUCAGAUGAGCCUGCGUAAGAUUAGCUUGUUGGUAGGGUAAAAGCCUACCAAGGCAACGAUCUUUAGCUGGUCCGAGAGGAUGAUCAGCCACAUCGGGACUGAGACACGGCCCGAACUCCUACGGGAGGCAGCAGUGGGGAAUAUUGGACAAUGGGGGCAACCCUGAUCCAGCAAUACCGCGUGUGUGAAGAAGGCCUGAGGGUUGUAAAGCACUUUCAAUUGUGAAGAAAGUUAACGGUUAAUAACCGUUGACCUUGACGUUAACUUUAGAAGAAGCACCGGCUAACUCCGUGCCAGCAGCCGCGGUAAUACGGAGGGUGCAAGCGUUAAUCGGAAUUACUGGGCGUAAAGCGUGCGUAGGCGGUUUAUUAAGUCAGAUGUGAAAGCCCCGGGCUUAACCUGGGAACUGCAUUUGAAACUGGUCAACUAGAGUAUGGUAGAGGAAAGUGGAAUUUCUGGUGUAGCGGUGAAAUGCGUAGAUAUCAGAAGGAACAUCAAUGGCGAAGGCAGCUUUCUGGACCAAUACUGACGCUGAGGUACGAAAGCGUGGGUAGCAAACAGGAUUAGAUACCCUGGUAGUCCACGCCGUAAACGAUGAUAACUAGCCGUUGGGGGGAUUUACCCCUUAGUGGCGAAGCUAACGCGUUAAGUUAUCCGCCUGGGGAGUACGGCCGCAAGGCUAAAACUCAAAGGAAUUGACGGGGACCCGCACAAGCGGUGGAGCAUGUGGUUUAAUUCGAUGCAACGCGAAGAACCUUACCUGGUCUUGACAUCCUGCGAACUUUCUAGAAAUAGAUUGGUGCCCUUCGGGAACGCGGUGACAGGUGCUGCAUGGCCCGCCCCCCCAGCUCGUGUCGUGAGAUGUUGGGUUAAGUCCCGUAACGAGCGCAACCCCUAUCCUUAUUUGCCAGCACAUUAUGGUGGGAACUAUAAGGAGACUGCCGGUGAUAAACCGGAGGAAGGCGGGGACGACGUCAAGUCAUCAUGGCCCUUACGACCAGGGCUACACACGUGCUACAAUGGGAGGGACAAAGAGCCGCGAAGCCGCGAGGUGUAGCUAAUCUCAUAAAUCUUUUCGUAGUCCGGAUUGGAGUCUGCAACUCGACUCCAUGAAGUCGGAAUCGCUAGUAAUCGUAGAUCAGAAUGCUACGGUGAAUACGUUCCCGGGUCUUGUACACACCGCCCGUCAUACCAUGGGAGUGGGUUGCACCAGAAGUGGCUAGUCUAACUUUGUGAGGACGGUCACCACGGUGUGAUUCAUGACUGGGGUA
Molecule: ribosomal RNA, 1444 nt
Filed under: uncultured bacterium
Lineage: Bacteria
Description: bacterial SSU rRNA
Rfam family: Bacterial small subunit ribosomal RNA
Source: RNAcentral